This is an RNA transcript of Brassica napus (rape), 1453 nucleotides long. It is a transcript of the gene named U11/U12 small nuclear ribonucleoprotein 35 kDa protein, with no coding region annotated. Lineage: Eukaryota; Viridiplantae; Streptophyta; Magnoliopsida; Brassicales; Brassicaceae. The transcript has 8 exons. The record is from RefSeq and is a predicted model, not a curated record.
CAUAUUCCCAAACGACACCGUUUAUCGUUAAACGACAGCGUUUACCUCCUUAGUGUAUUAAACUGGCCGGAGUCGCCGUGAUAGAGUAGAGAAGAUGAGCGGCGGAGGAAACAACGUCGUGAACAAAGUGUUCUACGCGACGUCGUAUCAUCCUAUCCAAGCCGGAAGCAUCGACGGGACCGACGUUGCGCCUCAUGAUAACGGCGUCCGUCGAGCUCUCCUAUGUUACAACGCCGGUCUAUAUGAUCCCUUUGGCGAUUCGAAAGCUGCCGGAGAUCCUUACUGUACCUUAUUCGUCGGUCGAAUCUCUCAUCUUACUACAGAGGAUACUCUUCGUGAGGCUAUGAGCAAACAUGGCAAAGUUAAGAGCUUGCGUUUGAUCAGACACAUUGGUAAGGUUUUGUUCUUCCAAAAUAUUGCCUUUAGCAUAAUCUUCACAUUAUGUUGUUUCCUUUCUAUAGUGACGGGUGCAUCACGAGGAUAUGCUUUUGUGGAGUAUGAGACUGAGAAGGAGAUGCGUCGUGCUUACGAGGAUGCUCAUCAUUCAUUCAUUGAUGGUAGAGAGAUUAUUGUUGAUUACAAUAGACAGCAACUGAUGCCUGGGUGGAUACCAAGACGAUUAGGAGGUGGACUUGGUGGUAGGAAAGAAUCUGGACAACUUCGUUUUGGAGGACGAGAAAGACCGUUCCGUGCUCCCUUGCGGCCAAUCCCUCAUGAAGAUUUGAAGAAGCUUGGGAUCCAGCUUCCACCAGAGGGAAGAUACAUGUCACGUACCCAGAUCCCAUCACCACCGAGGAGAAAAGGGUGUGUGUCCGAUAGAGAGGAAGGAUAUUAUUAUAGGGGAGAAGAGAGGAGCCCUGUCAAGAGAGAAGGGUCAUAUCACAGUCACAGGGAAAGCGAGAGUGCUCAUAGAAGACGCAACAAAGACAAAGAGGAGCGUUCCAGAAUAGAGUCUCGGUAUGACAGAAAAGACCGAUAUGGUGAUAAGGAAGAUGUUUCUGGGAGCAAAAGAUCAAACCAUGGAGAAGAACGUCCUCACAAACGUCAUAAACACAGGCGUCCCCUUCAUCAUAGGAGGUCUUCUAGCCGGGAUCAUCACCAUUCUUCUGACUUAGACACCUAGUGUUCAAUAGAAACACAGCUCUUUCUCUUUGUGCAAUCAAGUCAAUUAGUCAACCAACGUAUUGACAAGACGUGGAGUAUAGAGUUCAAUGGAAUAUAGAAACCAGUUCCAAAAACCAAAUAAGUUCAGUUACUAAGGUUUAUUGCUUGAUGAAGAAGAAAAUAGAGAGACACCAAUAUGAGAAAAGGAUUUCGUGUGGGAAGAGAGGUAUGAGACCGAACCGAACUGUGGCAGCUCAUUGACGGCCAUGUCGCAUCCAAGGUCUUUGACUACUUUGUAUCAAAUUGUUUUCUUCUUAACCAAGUUUUAUAUAUAUCCAAGCUUCGUCUA